CCUAAAGCCACAGAAGCUGUGGAAGGCGCCAUCCUGCCUGUCACAGGAGGGGCCCUGGGCUGAGAACACCGGAGCUGACUGGGGAUUAUUCAAAGCCAAAAGCCAACAGAGCCCCCAUGGAGAAGUGGAGGAUGCUCAGAUGCUGCUAUGGAGCCCUGAGAAGUGAAAUGAACCCAAGCCCUAACCUAGGAUAGAGCGCUCCAAGCGCGUCCUCCGGGGACCCUUUUAACCAGUGAAUUGUUCACUUCUCACUGUUUCUUCCCAACAGAGCUAAGAGACUUC
Long non-coding RNA from Rhinopithecus roxellana (golden snub-nosed monkey), 282 nucleotides. RefSeq lists it as uncharacterized. Lineage: Eukaryota; Metazoa; Chordata; Mammalia; Primates; Cercopithecidae. The record is from RefSeq and is a predicted model, not a curated record. The transcript has 2 exons.